GACGAACGCUGGCGGCGUGCUUAACACAUGCAAGUCGAGCGGUAAGGCCCUUUCGGGGGUACACGAGCGGCGAACGGGUGAGUAACACGUGGGUGACCUGCCCUCAGCUCUGGGAUAAGCCUGGGAAACCGGGUCUAAUACUGGAUAUGACUCCAUGACGCAUGUUGUGGGGUGGAAAGCCUUGUGCGGCUGAGGAUGGGCCCGCGGCCUAUCAGCUUGUUGGUGGGGUGANGGCCUACCAGGGCGACGACGGGUAGCCGGCCUGAGAGGGCGACCGGCCACACUGGGACUGAGACACGGCCCAGACUCCUACGGGAGGCAGCAGUGGGGAAUCUUGCGCAAUGGGCGAAAGCCUGACGCAGCGACGCCGCGUGAGGGAUGACGGCCUGGUU
RNAcentral lists this ribosomal RNA (392 nucleotides) under uncultured bacterium. RNAcentral describes it as "bacterial SSU rRNA". It matches the Rfam family "Bacterial small subunit ribosomal RNA", at positions 28 to 424 of the family's 1533-position model. The record is from RNAcentral.